AUGACCGCUGCUGGGCCAGCCCACAACAGAGGUUCCUUCAGACGAGCUCCUGUGCAGUCAAAUAUUUACAGCCCUUCUUCGGCAAGGGUAUCCGGUAAAAGGAGGACGGUUCCUAAUCUUUUGAUCGGCAAAGGGUUCGAUGCAUUAGUUUCCGACUAUGAACGAGUCAAUCAGCUAGAUCUACUUGCGGCAAACGGCACCUUCCUUUCCCAGCCAGUGGUACGUAAGGCAAUGGUUGUUAUUGAAGUUCAGAUCAGGGAAUACCCUAGGUUUCGGCUUUUUCCACGGUUCCGUAACGGUAGGUUUCGGCUCCUCGCUACAUCCCUUCCGCUCCUACUAAGGACGCUGCUGAACCGAUAG
This 360-nucleotide ribosomal RNA is filed under the name Triticum aestivum (bread wheat). RNAcentral's name for it is "partial small subunit ribosomal RNA". The record is from RNAcentral. Lineage: Eukaryota; Viridiplantae; Streptophyta; Magnoliopsida; Poales; Poaceae.